Xenopus tropicalis (tropical clawed frog) is the source of this 136-nucleotide non-coding RNA. The record is from Ensembl. NCBI's taxonomy places the organism in Eukaryota, Metazoa, Chordata, Amphibia, Anura, Pipidae.
UAUGGAAGCUGCAAGAAUCUGUGUGUGCAGUGCAAGUGUCUGCCCGCCAUAGCAGCCUUCCUAUAGGAAUAUUGUGGAGAUCUCUGUCUGGCUCUGCAGAGUAUGGGCUUAGCCAGAUCGUUCCCCUCCAUACAUG